RNAcentral lists this unclassified non-coding RNA (352 nucleotides) under soil metagenome. Its description in RNAcentral is "partial contains 5.8S ribosomal RNA, internal transcribed spacer 2, and large subunit ribosomal RNA". The stretch from base 1 to 120 matches the Rfam family "5.8S ribosomal RNA", at positions 35 to 154 of the family's 154-position model. The record is from RNAcentral.
GAUGAAGAACGUAGUGAAAUGCGAUAAGUAAUGUGAAUUGCAGAAUUCAGUGAAUCAUCGAAUCUUUGAACGCACAUUGCGCCCGCCAGUAUUCAGGCGGGCAUGCCUGUUCGAGCGUCAUUACAACCCUCAGGCCCCCGGGCCUGGCGUUGGGGAUCGGCGGAGCCCCCCGUGGGCACACGCCGUCCCCCAAAUACAGUGGCGGUCCCGCCGCAGCUUCCAUCGCGUAGUAGCUAACACCUCGCGACUGGAGAGCGGCGCGGCCACGCCGUAAAACACCCAACUCUUCUGAAGUUGACCUCGAAUCAGGUAGGAAUACCCGCUGAACUUAAGCAUAUCAAUAAGCGGAGGA